GCCUUCCUGUCUUGAGAUCGGGUGGCCCUCCUCGAUGACCACUCAUUGCUGGAGGACCGCUGCGGCCGCGGGCUGCCCCUCAGGGGGUUCCUGGACCUUUGUGGGGACCGUGACCAGUGCCUGGGGCUCAGGCGCCGCACCUGCCGGGGGCUUCGGCUCCGGGGCCGUGACGGCCGGUAGCGGCCCGGGCUCCGGGAGCGCGAGCGGGAGUGCCGGGGGGCAUAGCUGGAGCCUGCGGGCCUCGGGCGCCUGGGGCCGGGGCUGGCUGAGUUGGAGCGGUGCUUCGGGGUCUGGUUCUCCUUCCUGUCUGCA
RNAcentral lists this long non-coding RNA (312 nucleotides) under Gallus gallus (chicken). Lineage: Eukaryota; Metazoa; Chordata; Aves; Galliformes; Phasianidae. The record is from RNAcentral.